GAUGAACGCUGGCGGCGUGCCUAAUACAUGCAGGUCGAGCGAACGGACGAGAAGCUUGCUUCUCUGAUGUUAGCGGCGGACGGGUGAGUAACACGUGGAUAACCUACCUAUAAGACUGGGAUAACUUCGGGAAACCGGAGCUAAUACCGGAUAAUAUUUUGAACCGCAUGGUUCAAAAGUGAAAGGCGGUCUUGCUGUCACUUAUAGAUGGAUCCGCGCUGCAUUAGCUAGUUGGUAAGGUAACGGCUUACCAAGGCAACGAUGCAUAGCCGACCUGAGAGGGUGAUCGGCCACACUGGAACUGAGACACGGUCCAGACUCCUACGGGAGGCAGCAGUAGGGAAUCUUCCGCAAUGGGCGAAAGCCUGACGGAGCAACGCCGCGUGAGUGAUGAAGGUCUUCGGAUCGUAAAACUCUGUUAUUAGGGAAGAACAUAUGUGUAAGUAACUGUGCACAUCUUGACGGUACCUAAUCAGAAAGCCACGGCUAACUACGUG
Molecule: ribosomal RNA, 497 nt
Filed under: uncultured bacterium
Lineage: Bacteria
Description: partial 16S ribosomal RNA
Rfam family: Bacterial small subunit ribosomal RNA
Source: RNAcentral